Molecule: small nuclear RNA, 129 nt
Filed under: Catharus ustulatus (Swainson's thrush)
Lineage: Eukaryota; Metazoa; Chordata; Aves; Passeriformes; Turdidae
Description: U11 spliceosomal RNA (ENSCUSG00005015928.1)
Rfam family: U11 spliceosomal RNA
Source: Rfam by way of RNAcentral
AAAAAGGGCUUCUGCCGUGCGUGGCACGGGGGGGCUUUCAGACACCCCCGCGGAAUCGACAUCAAGAGAUUUCGGAAGCACAAUUUUUGUGAUGAAGGGUUGCUGGUAACCGCUUGUUCUGGCACCCUG